RNA transcript from Culex quinquefasciatus (southern house mosquito), 1317 nucleotides. RefSeq lists it as uncharacterized. The record is from RefSeq and is a predicted model, not a curated record. NCBI's taxonomy places the organism in Eukaryota, Metazoa, Arthropoda, Insecta, Diptera, Culicidae. The transcript has 2 exons.
ACCGGUGGCUUGUACACAAGACGUGCCCAACUUGCAUUCAAGUUUUGGCCUGGCAGAAUUCUGACAGGGCAAAGUGACACAUUUAAACUUCAAACAGAAACCAAAACAAACAUUAGCUAGAGAAAACUAAUCCCAGUCAGGUGCAGUUACUAGGUUCUGGAUUUAAACUAUUAAUUGUAAGUUAUUUUUGCUUAAUUUUGAAUUAUUUCUAAUAAAAAUCAUUUGCAGUUUGAGCUGCAGUAAUGCUGCUCCAAAAAUGUAGUUUGGUCUAAAUUACGUCCGAACAAACUCAAAAAUUAAUAAGAGAACGGAUCUAACCUCAAUGCAGUGACUGGCAUAAUUCGGCAAGAUCCAUUCUGUUGCAAAGGUGCUACGAUUACCACAACGGGCAGGAUGGUGAAGGUCAAAAUAGGAGCCCGUGUGUUUGACACCCAAGGCGAGGAAGAUCAAGAUCGUUGGUUGUUGCUCGUCGAUUAUGGGGUUGAACGUCGGCAAGAUGCGACCGCGGAAAGCUGUUCCGCGGAGGAGUUGCCAGAUCAAGCUCAAGACAAGAUUGUACGUGAAGGACCUUCAACGAUGGACCCUAUUCGGAGGGCCAUAAGGGAAGAGUAUGACCGACGGAAGAAGGAGCUGGAUCUGGAAUUUUCGGUGAAAGCGGAUGAACUCAAAAGGGAGUUCGAUUUCCGCAGGAGAAUGAUCAUCGAAGCCCAUCUACGAGAAAAAGAAGAGGACUUCGAAGAGUUGAACGCGUUGGACGAGUGUGAGACGACUAACGAAGACUACUCGGAAGAAGAAAGAAGUUAUUGUGUCAAGGUUUGCGGUGCAGUAGACUUCGUAAUGCGUCCAGGCCAAAACGGGCUGGGCAAACGGCAGCCGUUUGUAGUGAAGAACAUUGAUUCGCAGAAAAAAAAUCUUUUAGAUGCUGAAAUUUGUGCAACUCGUCAACGUCUCAGUAGCAGACUAAAUGCAAAACUGAGACGUUGGAUUGGCAGCCGCAAACGUGUCAGGAAGAAAAUAUUGAAAGUGUUAGUGGUAAAUCCGGUUCAGAUUUUUCACCGGAUGUUACGGGCUGGGGUGUUGGCACCGGUGGCUUGUACACAAGACGUGCCCAACUUGCAUUCAAGUUUUGGCCUGGCAGAAUUCUGACAGGGCAAAGUGACACAUUUAAACUUCAAACAGAAACCAAAACAAACAUUAGCUAGAGAAAACUAAUCCCAGUCAGGUGCAGUUACUAGGUUCUGGAUUUAAACUAUUAAUUUUUGAGCUGCAGUAAUGCUGCUCCAAAAAUGUAGUUUGGUCUAAAUUACGUCCGAACAG